AUGGACUUCGUGACUGGUUUUCCAAAGUCCAAGCGUGGAAAUGAUGCUAUCUUCGUUGUCAUCGACAAGCUUACUAAAGUGGCUCAUUUCCUUCCAAUCAAAGAAUCUAUCACAACAGCUCAGUUGGCAGAGCUAUACACCUCCAGGAUUGUCUCCUUGCAUGGCAUUCCACAAUUGAUUUCUUCAGAUCAUGGAAGCAUCUUCACUUCUAAGUUCUGGGACUCCUUUCAGAAGGCCAUGGGCACCAACAUUCGCUUCAGCAUAGCUUUCCAUCCUCAAACUAGUGGCCAAGUCGAGCGAGUAAAUCAAAUUCUUGAAGAUAUGCUCAGGGCUUGUGUCAUUUCCUUUGGCAUGAAAUGGGAAGAUUGUCUUCCAUAUGCCGAAUUCUCCUACAACAACAACUUUCAAGCAAGUUCGGGCAAGGCCCCAUUCGAGAUUCUCUAUGGCAGAAAGUGCCGUACUUCUCUCAAUUGGUCAGAGACUGGUGAACGCCAACUUUUUGGCAAUGACUUAAUCACAGAGGCUGAAGAAAUGUGUAAAGUCAUCCGUGAUAAUCUCAAAGCCGCGCAAUCGCGACAGAAGAGUUACUAUGACAGUAAGCACCGUGAUGUGGCUUUCGAGAUCGGAGACCAUGUCUACCUCCGCGUCUCUCCAAUGAAAGGCACUCGUCGCUUCGGUAUCGAAGGGAAGCUUGCCCCUAGAUACGUGGGUCCUUUCAAGAUCAUUGGCAAAAGAGGCGACCUCGCCUAUCAACUUGAGCUUCCCUCCAACUUCGCGAACGUGCACGAUGUGUUCCACGUGUCACAGCUCCGCAAGUGCUUCAAGACUCCUGAGCGCACCAUCAACUUCUAA
Molecule: ribosomal RNA, 852 nt
Filed under: Triticum aestivum (bread wheat)
Lineage: Eukaryota; Viridiplantae; Streptophyta; Magnoliopsida; Poales; Poaceae
Description: partial small subunit ribosomal RNA
Source: RNAcentral